GACAUUUUUAAAGUGUGCAUGUG
This 23-nucleotide non-coding RNA is filed under the name Arabidopsis thaliana (thale cress). The record is from RNAcentral. Lineage: Eukaryota; Viridiplantae; Streptophyta; Magnoliopsida; Brassicales; Brassicaceae.